GAUGAACGCUGGCGGCAUGCCUAAUACAUGCAAGUCGAGCGAACGGACGAGGAGCUUGCUCCUCUGACGUUAGCGGCGGACGGGUGAGUAACACGUGGAUAACCUACCUAUAAGACUGGAAUAACUUCGGGAAACCGGAGCUAAUACCGGAUAAUAUAUUGAACCGCAUGGUUCAAUAGUGAAAGACGGUUUUGCUGUCACUUAUAGAUGGAUCCGCGCCGCAUUAGCUAGUUGGUAAGGUAACGGCUUACCAAGGCAACGAUGCGUAGCCGACCUGAGAGGGUGAUCGGCCACACUGGAACUGAGACACGGUCCAGACUCCUACGGGAGGCAGCAGUAGGGAAUCUUCCGCAAUGGGCGAAAGCCUGACGGAGCAACGCCGCGUGAGUGAUGAAGGUCUUCGGAUCGUAAAACUCUGUUAUUAGGGAAGAACAAAUGUGUAAGUAACUAUGCACGUCUUGACGGUACCUAAUCAGAAAGCCACGGCUAACUACGUG
RNAcentral lists this ribosomal RNA (497 nucleotides) under uncultured bacterium. Its description in RNAcentral is "partial 16S ribosomal RNA". It matches the Rfam family "Bacterial small subunit ribosomal RNA", at positions 28 to 507 of the family's 1533-position model. The record is from RNAcentral.